Long non-coding RNA from Octopus sinensis (East Asian common octopus), 146 nucleotides. RefSeq lists it as uncharacterized. NCBI's taxonomy places the organism in Eukaryota, Metazoa, Mollusca, Cephalopoda, Octopoda, Octopodidae. The record is from RefSeq and is a predicted model, not a curated record. The transcript has 3 exons.
AUCAUCUCUUCAGCAAAAGGUGACAGGAUGUAUGACGAAAGAGCUUUGACAAGGAAACAAAAAUAAUAAUAAUAAUAAAGCUGGAGUAAAGACCAAACAUAUAGUGUGUGAGUUUAAACGGCAAAAUAUGACCACCCCCAAGUAUA